Molecule: ribosomal RNA, 322 nt
Filed under: uncultured eukaryote
Lineage: Eukaryota
Description: partial 18S ribosomal RNA
Rfam family: Eukaryotic small subunit ribosomal RNA
Source: RNAcentral
CCCUUAGAUGUUCUGGGCCGCACGCGUGCUACACUGAGUAAUUCAAUGGGUAAGGGAACGCUAGAGCAUUACCUAAUCUUGAAAUCUGCUCGUGAUGGGGAUCGACGGUUGCAAUUUUCCGUCGUGAACGAGGAAUACCUUGUAGGCGCAUGUCAUCAUCAUGCGCCGAAUACGUCCCUGCCCUUUGUACACACCGCCCGUCGCUCCUACCGAUUGAGUGAUCCGGUGAGGCUCUGGGACCUGGACGGAAAGAGCGUUUCGCUUGUUCUGUUUGGGAAACUUGGUCGAACCUUAUCAUUUAGAGGAAGGAGAAGUCGUAACA